RNAcentral lists this ribosomal RNA (253 nucleotides) under uncultured bacterium. Its description in RNAcentral is "partial 16S ribosomal RNA". It matches the Rfam family "Bacterial small subunit ribosomal RNA", at positions 524 to 776 of the family's 1533-position model. The record is from RNAcentral.
UACGGAGGGUGCAAGCGUUGUCCGGAUUUAUUGGGUUUAAAGGGUGCGUAGGUGGUUUGAUAAGUCUGGUUUGGAAGCAAGCGGCUUAACCGUUUGAUGUGGCUGGAAACUGUUGAACUUGAAUGCGUUGGCGGUAGCCGGAACGGGUCAUGUAGCGGUGAAAUGCAUAGAUAUGACCCAGAACACCGAUUGCGAAGGCAGGCUACUACGACGUGAUUGACACUGAGGCACGAGAGCAUGGGUAGCGAACAGG